AUCCCUCAUUCUCUCAGGAUCACCUUAAGGCUUCUUGGAAGUUCUGAAGGCAGCCCAGUGCCCCAGGAUGAGGCUUCCCACGCUGCUACUAUGAACAGUCUGGUCCUGCUGGAUUCCCUCCUCUCCUGACUCCCCAAGACUGGCCACUACUCAGCUUCAACCCUGGUGGCAAAGGAGGAUCCCAGCCAGGCCAGCCUCCCAGCUUCAUUCUUUUGGCUCAGAGAAAGCACAGCCUACCCUAGCACUGACAACAUCCUUGCAGGACCCCAACGGGGUGGAAGUAAUCUGUCCGGAAAAACCAGAAGGUGCCCUGCCCUUCCCCCAGCUCAGCAGGAAGCGCCAGCUGUUCUCACCAACAGCACUCCCUGGAUGGAGGCUUUACCUCCCUCAGCCCCCAAAAGACCAAGCUGUCUGAGAACAGCAACGCUGUGCAACCCUGCAGGGAGCUCUGACCUGACAGCAGCUUGCAGUAAGCAAUGCCAAUUACCAGCUGCGAAGGCUGGGCCUGCUUCUCACAACCCUCCCAGCCCCAAGGUCACAACCCUCCCAGCCCCAAGGCCUCCA
Molecule: long non-coding RNA, 564 nt
Organism: Mastomys coucha (southern multimammate mouse)
Lineage: Eukaryota; Metazoa; Chordata; Mammalia; Rodentia; Muridae
Exons: 3
Source: RefSeq, a predicted model, not a curated record